UCGAGGAUAUUUAGCAAUGGGCGAAAGCCUGACUAUGCGACGCCGCGUGAGGGAUGAAGGUUUUCGGAUCGUAAACCUCUUUCGAUGGGGAAGAAACUUUUUAGCAAAAUAUGCUAAAAACUGACGGUACCUAGAGAAGAAGCCACGGCCAACUCCGUGCCAGCAGCCGCGGUAAUACGGGGGUGGCGAGCGUUACUCGGAUUCAUUGGGUGUAAAGGGCAAGUAGGCGGCUAUAUAAGUUGGAGGUGAAAUACUUUGGCUUAACCAAAGAACUGCCUCCAAAACUGCAUAGCUUGAGGCUAGAAGAGGAGAGCGGAAUUCCCGGUGUAAGGGUGAAAUCUGUAGAUAUCGGGAGGAACGCCAGUUACGAAAGUGGCUCUCUUGUCUGGCCCUGACGCUAAAUUGCGAAAGCUAGGGUAGCAAACAGG
This 428-nucleotide ribosomal RNA is filed under the name uncultured bacterium. Its description in RNAcentral is "bacterial SSU rRNA". It matches the Rfam family "Bacterial small subunit ribosomal RNA", at positions 355 to 776 of the family's 1533-position model. The record is from RNAcentral.